GUGUGGUCAGGCAGCAAGAGACUCAGAUUUCACUUCUCAGCCACUCUGUUCCUGGUAGCAGGGAUGCUGGGCUGAUGGGAUGGUCAUGGCAGGAUGAGAAGACCCUCCUUAAAGUCUAGGAGAGCACCCGUGUGAACUGGCCUGAUGUAGAGAGACUCACUUAUUUGUCACUUUGCAGUAGCUGCUGUGAGACAGAGGCUGUAGGUAGAGAUGUCCCUCAGCUCUAAGAAAGCCAAGGGAAAGACAGAACACAUCUUCACAGCUGCAGACUUCAACCAAGAAGGUGCACGGGCCACUUUCAGAAGGAGACGUGUCACCAGUACCCAGGUGACCCAUGGGCUGUGUGGGGAUCCUUUCCCUCUGGAUAGAGCAUCAAAGCUGGGUGCUGACUCAUGUCUAGAUGAUACAGCAAGGUCAUGGACCUUGAAGAAUGGAAACUUCUUCCUGAAGAUGGUGAACUGGCAAGAUAGGAACCUUGAUUCCUGAUGACACUGUGAAGAUUCCAUAUCAGUUCUACCUCCUCUGAACUUCUUUUAGGUGAGAGAGAAAUAUAUUUCUAUUUUGUUUAAGUGAUAUUUAUUUUAAAUGUUCUCAGAUGUUCAGACAAAUUUAAUUCUGAUACAGAUACUUAGGCUGAUUCUAAUUUUUUGCUGCUGUAAACUAUGCUGCAGUUAGCAUACUUGUCCAAACAUCUUUGCUCAUUUGUCUGACAAUAUUUUGGAUCUACUCCUAGAAGUUGAAUUAUCAAUUAAAAUAUUUAUGGACAGUUUUUAUUGUUUUGUGAAAUAUCUUGCCUAACUUGGGGAGGCAUUCUUUAUGGGGAUGCUCUUGGGCAGUGAACAAAUUGGGUAGAAAUAUGUAGGACACUGAUAUUGGGAAAAGGUUGACAUACAGGGUAAUGUAGAUGAGAGCCAGAUGUCCCCAGGUCAAGCUAAAAUGCUUCUAUUUCCUUUAUUAAAAUGACUGAAUCAAAAUCAAAAUUAUAAAAAAAUAACCCAAUAAAAUAUUUGUGUUUCAACA
This 1020-nucleotide long non-coding RNA is filed under the name Bos indicus x Bos taurus (hybrid cattle). Its description in RNAcentral is "lncRNA (ENSBIXG00000020970.1)". The record is from RNAcentral. Lineage: Eukaryota; Metazoa; Chordata; Mammalia; Artiodactyla; Bovidae.